UACGUAGGGGGCUAGCGUUGUCCGGAAUCACUGGGCGUAAAGCGCACGUAGGCGGAUUGUUAAGUCAGGGGUGAAAUCCUGGAGCUCAACUCCAGAACUGCCUUUGAUACUGGCGAUCUUGAGUCCGGGAGAGGUGAGUGGAACUGCGAGUGUAGAGGUGAAAUUCGUAGAUAUUCGCAAGAACACCAGUGGCGAAGGCGGCUCACUGGCCCGGUACUGACGCUGAGGUGCGAAAGCGUGGGGAGCAAACAGG
Molecule: ribosomal RNA, 253 nt
Filed under: uncultured bacterium
Lineage: Bacteria
Description: partial 16S ribosomal RNA
Rfam family: Bacterial small subunit ribosomal RNA
Source: RNAcentral